Molecule: long non-coding RNA, 1678 nt
Organism: Homo sapiens (human)
Lineage: Eukaryota; Metazoa; Chordata; Mammalia; Primates; Hominidae
Source: Ensembl
CCACACGAAGACAGUUUUAGGUGUCCCUGUGAUUUCAUCUCCAGCCAAUCGUUUCAGUUCUCCAGCCCCCUUCCUGCCAAAGUACCUAGGCUACUGAAAUAAAACUGGCGUCUGGGAAACCCGGAGGCCAGAGCAACUGGUCAGGCCCAGAUGAGAAACCUGUGCUAGAAAUGAGAGUCAGGAUUGAAACCAGGUAGUCCAGCUUCAGAGACCAUGCUUUUUAGCACAGCCCCUGGCCUUUGUGGCCUCAUUUAAGGGUUUCAGCAGAGAAAGGACAUGGCCAGAUAGAAAUAUUGGAAUGGCAGAAGUAGCCGGAAUCUCAGAAAGACUGACUGACUGACUCUGACAGGAUCCGGGGCUGAAGGAAGGAGGCGGUGACCAUGGAGUUAGGUGAGCUGCUCUACAACAAGUCUGAGUAUAUCAAGACGGCAUCUGGGAACAAAGUCAGUCUCCAGUCAGUGUUGUGUGGAAGCCAGAACAUACUUCUCAAUCGCAAGACCAUGUGGUGAAUGACUGUAUUAUCUGAGGGGAUCUGGAAAACAUAAGAGAUGGACUCCAUUGUGUUGUGAAAAGUUGUAGUGUCAUAAGGCCACCAUUCAAGAAAUUCAGCAAAGGUGUUGAAUUCUUUCCUUUACAUAUUGGGGACCAUGUCUUUAUUGAGGAAGAGUGUGUGGUCAACGCAGCUCAGAUUGGUUCUUGCAUUCAUGUUGGCAAGAACUGCGUGAUUGGGUGCCGGUGUUUGUUGAAAGACUGCUGCAAAAUUCUUGACAACACAGCAUUACCUCCAGAAACUGUGGUCCCACCAUUCACUGUCUUCUCAGGCUGCCCAGGAUGCUUCUCAGGAGAGCUCGUGGAGUGCACUCAGGAGCUGACGAUUGAUGUCACCAAGAGCUAUUAUCAGAAGUUUUUGCCCCUGACACAAGUCUAGCAUCUCUGCCUCAUGUCUUGAAUCUGCUUGAGCUCUAAGAUGAACCUGGGGACAAAGUAAGCUAGUCAGCACCUACAAAGAGCUCUUGUGUCUUUGACAUCUACCACCCUCCUUCUUUAAAAAAAUUUCUUUAGAAUUUCUCAAUCCUCAAGGCUCUAAGCUCUUAAGAAUUUACUAACAGAUGGACCAUCUGGAGGAGUUGUCUUCAAAUGCUGUGCUUACACCUUAUCUGUGACCAGUCACUUUGUACCAUUAUCCGUGGAACACAGAAUCAUCUGUUCCCAACGCUCCAGCCCCUUGGUCUUGUGCAUGGCUGGAUCCCACCGGAAACGGGCCUGCACAGCAGCAGCACCCUCCUGGUGUGGAGGUUAUGUAGCUGGUGAGCUGCUCACAGCCAUACACUGCCCAUGCCGAGCACCUCCCACACAGCAACUCUUAGGCAUUAUCAUUACCUUCACCACUGAAAUAAAGAUCCAUAGAACUCUGGCAGGUAACCAAGCAAGAGAGUCCUGAUUGGGAGGAAGGACCUUUGGAUCUCAUCCUACAAUGUUGUAUCCUAAUGCCUAGAGCCUGGCGCACAGUAGAGAGAGUCUAGAAAAAAAGCCUUAAUUAUGUCAACGGAAUGAAUGGUGAAGACUGAAAUAUCAGAAAGGUGCUUCUGUGCCAGAGAACUUUCUAAUCCUGCACACGAGUACUAUGAUCGCUGGGAGAGAAGAGCCAGGGAAGAAGGUUUAAUAAAAGGGUGGCUGC